Molecule: ribosomal RNA, 201 nt
Filed under: uncultured bacterium
Lineage: Bacteria
Description: partial 16S ribosomal RNA
Rfam family: Bacterial small subunit ribosomal RNA
Source: RNAcentral
CCCUAGUUCGGAUUGUAGGCUGAAACUCGCCUACAUGAAGCUGGAAUUGCUAGUAAUCACAGGUCAGCAUACUGUGGUGAAUACGUUCCCGGGCCUUGUACACACCGCCCGUCACACCAUGAGAGUUGAGAAUACCCGAAGCCCAUGUCAAAGUGGUCGAAGGUAGGCUUGAUGAUUGGGGUGAAGUCGUAACAAGGUACC